This 228-nucleotide long non-coding RNA is filed under the name Vigna radiata. RNAcentral describes it as "long non-coding RNA (VRAD_LNC006993)". The record is from RNAcentral. Lineage: Eukaryota; Viridiplantae; Streptophyta; Magnoliopsida; Fabales; Fabaceae.
UAAAUAAAACAAAAGGUAAGAAUAAGAGGUAAAUUAGCUAAUUUAUCAAUAUAAUGAUUUUCUUCACGAAAAAUAUAUGAAAAAUUUUCAACUCCACAUAUUUACAAAAAUAUAAGUAUUGACAUCAUCUUUCUAAGACUCCAAGGAAUCACUCAUUAAAAAAAAAAAAAAAAACAUGACAUACUAAAAAAGAAUUACUCUCAAACCAAAGCCUUUGAAAGUCCUCCC